GGGGUUGUACUGGUUUCGACGGGGGAUUGGCAGUCUGGGAAGCCAUCCGCGGGACGGGGCCGCGUCAUCAAUCCGUAAACUUAAAUAUAAACGCAGAAGAUCGUUUAGCUUACGCUGCCUAAUGGCAGCUGUCGGCCUCAGGUCGCUCAUUGCCUGAGAAUCCGGCACUAAUCAGAUGAGGCCCUCCGUACCCUAAGCUUUGCGGGCGCGGAAGAGACAUGAAGCUACUGAAAAAGAAAGCCUGUCAUUCGGCGUUCUUUGGAGGGAAUGUUAAAGGAAUGACUGUGAUGGGAGAAACCUGGAUGAAAGGUCUUUCGGACAGGGGUUCGAUUCCCCUCAGCUCCAU
This 346-nucleotide transfer-messenger RNA is filed under the name chicken gut metagenome. It matches the Rfam family "transfer-messenger RNA". From Rfam's summary of the family: Bacterial tmRNA, also known as 10Sa RNA or SsrA, is named for its dual tRNA and mRNA-like properties. Its role is to liberate the mRNA from a stalled ribosome. The record is from RNAcentral.